This 437-nucleotide ribosomal RNA is filed under the name uncultured Pseudomonadota bacterium. Its description in RNAcentral is "bacterial SSU rRNA". It matches the Rfam family "Bacterial small subunit ribosomal RNA", at positions 29 to 501 of the family's 1533-position model. The record is from RNAcentral. Lineage: Bacteria; Pseudomonadati; Pseudomonadota.
AACGAACGCUGGCGGCAGGCUUAACACAUGCAAGUCGCAGGAGAAGCAUGACUUCGGUUAUGUGGACACUGGCGGACGGGUGAGUAACGCGUGGGAACCUACCUCGGGGUGGGGGACAACCGCGUGGAAACGGCGGCUAAUACCGCAUACGCCCUCAGGGGGAAAACUCUGGUGCCCUGAGAUGGUCCCGCGUCGGAUUAGCUUGUUGGUGGGGUAAUGGCCUACCAAGGCGACGAUCCGUAGCUGGUCUGAGAGGAUGAUCAGCCACACUGGAACUGAGACACGGUCCAGACUCCUACGGGAGGCAGCAGUGGGGAAUAUUGGACAAUGGGGGCAACCCUGAUCCAGCCAUGCCGCGUGGGUGAAGAAGGCCUUAGGGUUGUAAAACCCUUUCAGCGGGAAGAUGAUGACGGUACCCGCAGAGAAGCCCGGCUAAC